GUGUCAGCCGCCGCGGUAAUACAGAGGGUGCGAGCGUUGUUCGGAAUUAUUGGGCGUAAAGCGCUUGUAGGCGGCGUGUCAAGUCGCGUGUGAAAGCCCCGGGCUCAACCCGGGAAGUGCGCGCGAAACUGGCAGGCUCGAGUCCCGGAGAGGGUCGCGGAAUUCCCGGUGUAGAGGUGAAAUUCGUAGAUAUCGGGAGGAACACCAGAGGCGAAGGCGGCGACCUGGAAGGAGACUGACGCUGAGAAGCGAAAGCGUGGGGAGCAAACAGGAUUAGAUACCCUGGUAGUCCACGCCGUAAACGAUGGAUGCCAGCUGUGGGAGGAGUUGACCCCUUCCGUGGCGACGCAAACGCAAUAAGCAUCCCGCCUGGGGAGUACGGCCGCAAGGCUAAA
Molecule: ribosomal RNA, 395 nt
Filed under: uncultured bacterium
Lineage: Bacteria
Description: bacterial SSU rRNA
Rfam family: Bacterial small subunit ribosomal RNA
Source: RNAcentral